CCGGCACGGGUGAGUAACACGUAUCCAACCUGCCGUCUACUCUUGGAUAGCCUUCUGAAAGGAAGAUUAAUACAAGAUGGCAUCAUGAGUCCGCAUGUUCACAUGAUUAAAGGUAUUCCGGUAGACGAUGGGGAUGCGUUCCAUUAGAUAGUAGGCGGGGUAACGGCCCACCUAGUCUUCGAUGGAUAGGGGUUCUGAGAGGAAGGUCCCCCACAUUGGAACUGAGACACGGUCCAA
This 237-nucleotide ribosomal RNA is filed under the name uncultured bacterium. RNAcentral describes it as "partial 16S ribosomal RNA". It matches the Rfam family "Bacterial small subunit ribosomal RNA", at positions 100 to 334 of the family's 1533-position model. The record is from RNAcentral.